AACGAACGCUGGCGGCAUGCCUAACACAUGCAAGUCGAACGAGACCUUCGGGUCUAGUGGCGCACGGGUGCGUAACGCGUGGGAACCUGCCCUUAGGUUCGGAAUAACUCCCCGAAAGGGGUGCUAAUACCGCAUAAUGUCUUCGGACCAAAGAUUUAUCGCCUUUGGAUGGGCCCGCGUUGGAUUAGCUAGUUGGUAGGGUAAAAGCCUACCAAGGCGACGAUCCAUAGCUGGUCUGAGAGGAUGAUCAGCCACACUGGGACUGAGACACGGCCCAGACUCCUACGGGAGGCAGCAGUGGGGAAUAUUGGACAAUGGGCGAAAGCCUGAUCCAGCAAUGCCGCGUGAGUGAUGAAGGCCUUAGGGUUGUAAAGCUCUUUUACCCGGGAUGAUAAUGACAGUACCGGGAGAAUAAGCGCCGGCUAACUCCGUG
RNAcentral lists this ribosomal RNA (433 nucleotides) under uncultured bacterium. RNAcentral describes it as "partial 16S ribosomal RNA". It matches the Rfam family "Bacterial small subunit ribosomal RNA", at positions 29 to 507 of the family's 1533-position model. The record is from RNAcentral.